AGGCGCGUAGCUCAGUUGGUUAGAGCACCACCUUGACAUGGUGGGGGUCAGUGGUUCGAAUCCGCUCGCGCCUACCA
RNAcentral lists this transfer RNA (77 nucleotides) under bacterium. RNAcentral describes it as "tRNA-Val". It matches the Rfam family "tRNA". From Rfam's summary of the family: Transfer RNA (tRNA) molecules are approximately 80 nucleotides in length. Their secondary structure includes four short double-helical elements and three loops (D, anti-codon, and T loops). Further hydrogen bonds mediate the characteristic L-shaped molecular structure. tRNAs have two regions of fundamental functional importance: the anti-codon, which is responsible for specific mRNA codon recognition, and the 3' end, to which the tRNAs corresponding amino acid is attached (by aminoacyl-tRNA synthetases). tRNAs cope with the degeneracy of the genetic code in two manners: having more than one tRNA (with a specific anti-codon) for a particular amino acid; and 'wobble' base-pairing, i.e. permitting non-standard base-pairing at the 3rd anti-codon position. The record is from RNAcentral. RNAcentral also lists the same sequence under 2 other names.